AUUGAACGCUGGCGGCAGGCCUAACACAUGCAAGUCGAAUGGUAACAGGAAGAAGCUUGCUUCUUUGCUGACGAGUGGCGGACGGGUGAGUAAUGUCUGGGAAACUGCCUGAUGGAGGGGGAUAACUACUGGAAACGGUAGCUAAUACCGCAUAACGUCGCAAGACCAAAGAGGGGGACCUUCGGGCCUCUUGCCAUCGGAUGUGCCCAGAUGGGAUUAGCUAGUAGGUGGGGUAACGGCUCACCUAGGCGACGAUCCCUAGCUGGUCUGAGAGGAUGACCAGCCACACUGGAACUGAGACACGGUCCAGACUCCUACGGGAGGCAGCAGUGGGGAAUAUUGCACAAUGGGCGCAAGCCUGAUGCAGCCAUGCCGCGUGUAUGAAGAAGGCCUUCGGGUUGUAAAGUACUUUCAGCGGGGAGGAAGGAAGUAAAGUUAAUACCUUUGCUCAUUGACGUUACCCGCAGAAGAAGCACCGGCUAACUCCGUG
RNAcentral lists this ribosomal RNA (490 nucleotides) under uncultured bacterium. RNAcentral describes it as "partial 16S ribosomal RNA". It matches the Rfam family "Bacterial small subunit ribosomal RNA", at positions 30 to 507 of the family's 1533-position model. The record is from RNAcentral.